UACGUAGGGGGCAAGCGUUGUCCGGAUUUAUUGGGCGUAAAGAGCGUGUAGGCGGCCAGGUAGGUCAGCUGUGAAAACUCGAGGCUCAACCUCGAGACGCCGGUUGAAACCGUCUGGCUAGAGUCCGGAAGAGGAGAGUGGAAUUCCUGGUGUAGCGGUGAAAUGCGCAGAUAUCAGGAAGAACACCCGUGGCUAAGGCGGCUCUCUAGUACGGUACUGACGCUGAGACGCGAAAGCGUGGGGAGCGAACAGG
This 253-nucleotide ribosomal RNA is filed under the name uncultured bacterium. RNAcentral describes it as "partial 16S ribosomal RNA". It matches the Rfam family "Bacterial small subunit ribosomal RNA", at positions 524 to 776 of the family's 1533-position model. The record is from RNAcentral.